CAUUGGCCCCUCGCAACGGAGAACCGUGAACCCGGUCAGGCCCGGAAGGGAGCAGCCGUAGCGGUGCAUCCGGGUGCCGAGACCAGGCUGGUGCGG
Molecule: signal recognition particle RNA, 96 nt
Filed under: Gammaproteobacteria bacterium
Lineage: Bacteria; Pseudomonadati; Pseudomonadota; Gammaproteobacteria
Description: signal recognition particle sRNA small type
Rfam family: Bacterial small signal recognition particle RNA
About the family: The signal recognition particle (SRP) is a universally conserved ribonucleoprotein involved in the co-translational targeting of proteins to membranes. Archaeal SRP consists of a 7S RNA and homologues of the eukaryotic SRP19 and SRP54 proteins.
Source: RNAcentral